GAUGAACGCUGGCGGCGUGCCUAAUACAUGCAAGUCGAGCGAACGGACGAGAAGCUUGCUUCUCUGAUGUUAGCGGCGGACGGGUGAGUAACACGUGGAUAACCUACCUAUAAGACUGGGAUAACUUCGGGAAACCGGAGCUAAUACCGGAUAAUAUUUUGAACCGCAUGGUUCAAAAGUGAAAGACGGUCUUGCUGUCACUUAUAGAUGGAUCCGCGCUGCAUUAGCUAGUUGGUAAGGUAACGGCUUACCAAGGCAACGAUGCAUAGCCGACCUGAGAGGGUGAUCGGCCACACUGGAACUGAGACACGGUCCAGACUCCUACGGGAGGCAGCAGUAGGGAAUCUCCCGCAAUGGGCGAAAGCCUGACGGAGCAACGCCGCGUGAGUGAUGAAGGUCUUCGGAUCGUAAAACUCUGUUAUUAGGGAAGAACAUAUGUGUAAGUAACUGUGCACAUCUUGACGGUACCUAAUCAGAAAGCCACGGCUAACUACGUG
Molecule: ribosomal RNA, 497 nt
Filed under: uncultured bacterium
Lineage: Bacteria
Description: partial 16S ribosomal RNA
Rfam family: Bacterial small subunit ribosomal RNA
Source: RNAcentral